AGCAGCCGCGGUAAUUCCAGCUCCAAUAGCGUAUAUUAAAGUUGUUGCAGUUAAAAAGCUCGUAGUUGAAUUUCGGGAUUGACGUGAUGGUCAUGCCUUAAGGGGUAUGAACUGUCACUGUUGAUUUCUCACCUUCUGGAGAAACUUGAUGUCCUUUAUUGGGUGUCUUGCGGAUCCAGGACCUUUACCUUGAAAAAAUUGAGUGUUUAAAGCAGGCAUUUUUGCUCGAAUACAUUAGCAUGGAAUAAUAGAAUAGGACGGCAUGGUUCUAUUUUGUGGUUUCUAGGAUCACCGUAAUGAUUAAUAGGGAUAGUUGGGGGCAUUAGUAUUCAAUUGUCAGAGGUGAAAUUCUUGGAUUUAUGAAAGAUGAACAACAGCGAAAGCAUUCACCACGGACAUUUUC
RNAcentral lists this ribosomal RNA (403 nucleotides) under uncultured Glomeromycotina. RNAcentral's name for it is "SSU rRNA". It matches the Rfam family "Eukaryotic small subunit ribosomal RNA", at positions 569 to 971 of the family's 1831-position model. The record is from RNAcentral. Lineage: Eukaryota; Fungi; Glomeromycota.